RNAcentral lists this ribosomal RNA (205 nucleotides) under uncultured bacterium. RNAcentral describes it as "partial 16S ribosomal RNA". It matches the Rfam family "Bacterial small subunit ribosomal RNA", at positions 570 to 774 of the family's 1533-position model. The record is from RNAcentral.
CGUAGGCGGUUUUUUAAGUGAGGCGUGAAAGCCCUGGGCUUAACCCAGGAACUGCGUUUCAGACUGAAAGACUUGAGUACGAGAGAGGUAAGUGGAAUUCCUAGUGUAGAGGUGAAAUUCGUAGAUAUUAGGAAGAACACCAGUGGCGAAGGCGGCUUACUGGCUCGUAACUGACGCUGAGGCGCGAAAGCGUGGGGAGCAAACA